This 429-nucleotide ribosomal RNA is filed under the name Chloroflexota bacterium. RNAcentral describes it as "Chloroflexi bacterium partial 16S ribosomal RNA". It matches the Rfam family "Bacterial small subunit ribosomal RNA", at positions 355 to 776 of the family's 1533-position model. The record is from RNAcentral. Lineage: Bacteria; Bacillati; Chloroflexota.
UGGGGAAUAUUGCACAAUGGGCGCAAGCCUGAUGCAGCCAUGCCGCGUGUAUGAAGAAGGCCUUCGGGUUGUAAAGUACUUUCAGCGGGGAGGAAGGGAGUAAAGUUAAUACCUUUGCUCAUUGACGUUACCCGCAGAAGAAGCACCGGCUAACUCCGUGCCAGCAGCCGCGGUAAUACGGAGGGUGCAAGCGUUAAUCGGAAUUACUGGGCGUAAAGCGCACGCAGGCGGUUUGUUAAGUCAGAUGUGAAAUGCCCGGGCUCAACCUGGGAACUGCAUCUGAUACUGGCAAGCUUGAGUCUCGUAGAGGGGGGUAGAAUUCCAGGUGUAGCGGUGAAAUGCGUAGAGAUCUGGAGGAAUACCGGUGGCGAAGGCGGCCCCCUGGACAAAGACUGACGCUCAGGUGCGAAAGCGUGGGGAGCAAACAGG